This 73-nucleotide transfer RNA is filed under the name Ipomoea nil (Japanese morning glory). It matches the Rfam family "tRNA". Rfam says of the family: Transfer RNA (tRNA) molecules are approximately 80 nucleotides in length. Their secondary structure includes four short double-helical elements and three loops (D, anti-codon, and T loops). The record is from Rfam by way of RNAcentral. Lineage: Eukaryota; Viridiplantae; Streptophyta; Magnoliopsida; Solanales; Convolvulaceae.
GCUCGUCUAGCUCAGGCGGUAGAGCGCCUGGCUCUUAAUCGUGUGGUCUUGGGUUCAACUCCUAGUGUGGGUG